GAAUAUUGCGCAAUGGACGAAAGUCUGACGCAGCCAUGCCGCGUGCAGGAAGAAUGCCCUACGGGUUGUAAACUGCUUUUGUACAGGAAGAAACCCCCUUACGUGUAAGGGGCUGACGGUACUGUACGAAUAAGCACCGGCUAACUCCGUGCCAGCCGCCGCGGUAAUACGGAGGGUGCAAGCGUUAUCCGGAUUUAUUGGGUUUAAAGGGUGCGUAGGCGGAAUAAUAAGUCAGUGGUGAAAUCUCCCAGCUCAACUGGGAAACUGCCAUUGAUACUGUUAUUCUCGAGUAUAGUUGAAGUGGGCGGAAUGUAACAUGUAGCGGUGAAAUGCUUAGAUAUGUUACAGAACACCAAUUGCGAAGGCAGUUCACUAAGCUAUUACUGACGCUGAGGCACGAAAGCGUGGGGAGCGAACAGG
This 420-nucleotide ribosomal RNA is filed under the name uncultured bacterium. RNAcentral describes it as "bacterial SSU rRNA". It matches the Rfam family "Bacterial small subunit ribosomal RNA", at positions 359 to 776 of the family's 1533-position model. The record is from RNAcentral.